This 496-nucleotide ribosomal RNA is filed under the name uncultured bacterium. RNAcentral's name for it is "partial 16S ribosomal RNA". It matches the Rfam family "Bacterial small subunit ribosomal RNA", at positions 29 to 507 of the family's 1533-position model. The record is from RNAcentral.
AUGAACGCUGGCGGCGUGCCUAAUACAUGCAAGUCGCGCGAACAGACGAGGAGCUUGCUCCUCUGACUUUAGCGGCGGACGGGUGAGUAACACGUGGAUAACCUACCUAUAAGACUGGGAUAACUUCGGGAAACCGGAGCUAAUACCGGAUAACAUGUUGAACCGCAUGGUUCAACAGUGAAAGACGGUCUUGCUGUCACUUAUAGAUGGAUCCGCGCCGCAUUAGCUAGUUGGUAAGGUAACGGCUUACCAAGGCAACGAUGCGUAGCCGACCUGAGAGGGUGAUCGGCCACACUGGAACUGAGACACGGUCCAGACUCCUACGGGAGGCAGCAGUAGGGAAUCUUCCGCAAUGGGCGAAAGCCUGACGGAGCAACGCCGCGUGAGUGAAGAAGGUCUUCGGAUCGUAAAACUCUGUUAUUAGGGAAGAACAAAUGUGUAAGUAACUAUGCACGUCUUGACGGUACCUAAUCAGAAAGCCACGGCUAACUACGUG